Molecule: ribosomal RNA, 489 nt
Filed under: uncultured bacterium
Lineage: Bacteria
Description: partial 16S ribosomal RNA
Rfam family: Bacterial small subunit ribosomal RNA
Source: RNAcentral
GAUGAACGCUAGCGGCAGGCUUAAUACAUGCAAGUCGAGGGGCAGCAGGACUGUAGCAAUACAGUUGCUGGCGACCGGCAAACGGGUGCGGAACACGUACGCAACCUACCCAAAACUGGGGGAUAGCCCGGGGAAACCCGGAUUAAUACCUCGUAACCUUUUUAAGUGGCAUCACUUGAUAAGUAUAGCUCCGGCGGUUUUGGAUGGGCGUGCGCCUGAUUAGGUAGUUGGUGCGGGUAACGGCCCACCAAGCCUGCGAUCAGUAACUGGUGUGAGAGCACGACCAGUCACACGGGCACUGAGACACGGGCCCGACUCCUACGGGAGGCAGCAGUAAGGAAUAUUGGUCAAUGGACGCAAGUCUGAACCAGCCAUGCCGCGUGAAGGAUGAAGGUCCUCUGGAUUGUAAACCUCUUUUAUGGGGGACGAAACCCGGAUAUUCUUAUCCGAUUGACGGUACCUCAGGAAUAAGCACCGGCUAACUCCGCG